Molecule: ribosomal RNA, 253 nt
Filed under: uncultured bacterium
Lineage: Bacteria
Description: partial 16S ribosomal RNA
Rfam family: Bacterial small subunit ribosomal RNA
Source: RNAcentral
UACGAAGGGGGCUAGCGUUGUUCGGAAUCACUGGGCGUAAAGCGCACGUAGGCGGAUUUUUAAGUCAGGGGUGAAAUCCCGAGGCUCAACCUCGGAACUGCCUUUGAUACUGGAGAUCUUGAGUUCGGAAGAGGUAAGUGGAACUGCGAGUGUAGAGGUGAAAUUCGUAGAUAUUCGCAAGAACACCAGUGGCGAAGGCGGCUUACUGGUCCGGAACUGACGCUGAGGUGCGAAAGCGUGGGGAGCAAACAGG